ACUCCACCUACAACCACAUCGUAGUAGGCGAGUUCAACAGCCAAUUGGUCAUAUUUUUCAGCUCUAAACCAAUUCCCAUAAUGAAUUUCUUCAAAAUAGUAUUUAUGGUCGCUGCCGGUGUUGCCGCUUUGGGCAGCUAUUAUGUAGAAGCUGCUAUCAGUGCAACUGCCAAUCCCGAAGCCAACUAUGUAGGAGCCACAAGCAAAUACAACUAAUAAAAAAAUAAAUGCUUUUCUUGUAAAUUGUCGAAACUUAAUGUUGAGAAAAUAAAAUUCAUCUUAAAAAAA
Molecule: long non-coding RNA, 287 nt
Organism: Anoplophora glabripennis (Asian longhorned beetle)
Lineage: Eukaryota; Metazoa; Arthropoda; Insecta; Coleoptera; Cerambycidae
Exons: 3
Source: RefSeq, a predicted model, not a curated record